UAAUAAAGAUUGCUCCGAGCCUUUCAUCCUAAAGCAUUGCCAUGGAUAAAGGCCGAUAGGGUAUAAACGGAAACGUUUUUGCCUCCAUGUUGGGAAGGAGUUAAUACAAUUAAAAU
Molecule: non-coding RNA, 116 nt
Filed under: Acetobacterium bakii
Lineage: Bacteria; Bacillati; Bacillota; Clostridia; Eubacteriales; Eubacteriaceae
Description: MoCo sequence
Rfam family: Molybdenum/Tungsten riboswitch aptamer (Moco RNA motif)
Source: Rfam by way of RNAcentral